RNAcentral lists this ribosomal RNA (433 nucleotides) under uncultured bacterium. Its description in RNAcentral is "partial 16S ribosomal RNA". It matches the Rfam family "Bacterial small subunit ribosomal RNA", at positions 29 to 507 of the family's 1533-position model. The record is from RNAcentral.
AACGAACGCUGGCGGCAUGCCUAACACAUGCAGGUCGAACGAGACCUUCGGGACUAGUGGCGCACGGGUGCGUAACGCGUGGGAACCUGCCCUUAGGUUCGGAAUAACUCCCCGAAAGGGGUGCUAAUACCGGAUAAUGUCUUCGGACCAAAGAUUUAUCGCCUUUGGAUGGGCCCGCGUUGGAUUAGCUAGUUGGUAGGGUAAAAGCCUACCAAGGCGACGAUCCAUAGCUGGUCUGAGAGGAUGAUCAGCCACACUGGGACUGAGACACGGCCCAGACUCCUACGGGAGGCAGCAGUGGGGAAUAUUGGACAAUGGGCGAAAGCCUGAUCCAGCAAUGCCGCGUGAGUGAUGAAGGCCUUAGGGUUGUAAAGCUCUUUUACCCGGGAUGAUAAUGACAGUACCGGGAGAAUAAGCUCCGGCUAACUCCGUG